RNAcentral lists this ribosomal RNA (494 nucleotides) under uncultured bacterium. RNAcentral's name for it is "partial 16S ribosomal RNA". It matches the Rfam family "Bacterial small subunit ribosomal RNA", at positions 28 to 507 of the family's 1533-position model. The record is from RNAcentral.
GACGAACGCUGGCGGCGUGCUUAACACAUGCAAGUCGAACGGUGAAGCGCCUUCCUUUUUGGUGGGUGUGGAUGAGUGGCGAACGGGUGAGUAACACGUGAGUAACCUGCCCCCUUCUUCUGGAUAACCGCAUGAAAGUGUGGCUAAUACGGGAUAUUUUGGUUCUGUCGCAUGAUGGGUCUGGGAAAGAUAUGGUUUCGGUGGGGGAUGGGCUCGCGGCCUACAAGCUUGUUGGUGGGGUGAUGGCCUACCAAGGCGGUGACGGGUAGCCGGCCUGGGAGGGUGGGCGGUCACACUGGGACGAAGACACGGCCCAGACUCCGACGGGAGGCAGCAGUGGGGAAUAUUGCACAAUGGGCGCAAGCCUGAUGCAGCGACGCCGCGUGAGGGAUGGAGGCCGUCGGGUUGUGAACCUCUUUCGCCAGUGAAGCAGGCCUGCCUCGUUUGUGGGUGGGUUGACGGUAGCUGGAGAAGAAGCGCCGGCUAACUACGUG